AACGCAUAUAUUUUUAUAUGAGUAGCGAACGGGUGCGUAACACGUGAGAAUCUACCCAUAGCUUAUGGUUAAAUGCCAUAGAAUCUUAUAGAUUUAGAUAUAUAUCGGUUAUGGAUGAGCUUGCGGGGUAUUAGGUAGUUGGUGUGGUAAUGGCGCACCAAGCCCAAGAUGCCUAGCCGGUUUGAGAGAACGAUCGGCCACACUGGGACUGAGACACGGCCCAGACGCUUACGAGCGGCAGCAGUGGGGAAUAUUGGACAAUGGGCGAAAGCCUGAUCCAGUGAUAUCGCUUUGGGGAUGACGGCGACAUACGUUGUAAACGCAAUGAAGUACGUUUAGAUUAUGA
Molecule: ribosomal RNA, 346 nt
Filed under: uncultured Alphaproteobacteria bacterium
Lineage: Bacteria; Pseudomonadati; Pseudomonadota; Alphaproteobacteria
Description: bacterial SSU rRNA
Rfam family: Bacterial small subunit ribosomal RNA
Source: RNAcentral